UGGAGCAAGCGUUAUCCGGAUUUACUGGGUGUAAAGGGAGCGCAGACGGCAGGGCAAGUCUGAUGUGAAAGUCCGGGGCUCAACCCCGGGACUGCAUUGGAAACUGUCCGGCUAGAGUGUCGGAGGGGUAAGCGGAAUUCCUAGUGUAGCGGUGAAAUGCGUAGAUAUUAGGAGGAACACCAGUGGCGAAGGCGGCUUACUGGACGAUGACUGACGCUGAGGCUCGAAAGCGUGGGGAGCAA
Molecule: ribosomal RNA, 242 nt
Filed under: uncultured bacterium
Lineage: Bacteria
Description: partial 16S ribosomal RNA
Rfam family: Bacterial small subunit ribosomal RNA
Source: RNAcentral